Gasterosteus aculeatus aculeatus (three-spined stickleback) is the source of this 1206-nucleotide long non-coding RNA. NCBI's taxonomy places the organism in Eukaryota, Metazoa, Chordata, Actinopteri, Perciformes, Gasterosteidae. The record is from Ensembl.
GGGGGUGGGGGGGUCUUCGUACCGCGAUCAGUAAAUGGGAUCAUUGCCUCGUUUAGCCUGCUGGCUAAUUGGAAUUCACUGUGUGUGUCCAUUUGUUGGUAUUCGCCGCCUGUGUGUGUGUGAGUGUGUGUGUGUGUGUGUGUGUGUGUGUGUGUGUGUGAGCGUGUGUGUGUGUGUGAGUGUGUGUGUGUGUGUGUGUGUGUGUGUGUGAGCGUGUGUGUGUGUGUGAGUGUGUGUGUGUGUGUGUGAGUGUGUGUGUGUGUGUGUGUGUGAGUGUGUGAGUGUGAGUGUGUGUGUGAAUGUGUGAUCCUUGAUCAGACUGACAAAGACUUAUUAUGGUGUCGCUUCACGUGACCCCUGUUGACCCCGCUGGCGGAAUAGAAAGUGUGUUUUUGUGUUUGCAGUCUGUUUGUGUGUAUUUUAAUCUGUAUAUGUGUGUGUGUGUGUGUGUGUUUGUCCUGCUAAUGACUUGUCAGCUUCACCACAAGUGCUAAAGGUGACGCUUCCUCCCACACACACACACACACACAAAACACACACACACACACACACACACACUGAGCACAUGAACACAAAAUGACACUUUGAGUUUUGCAACCAAUGCAAAAGAGAUGAAUUUAAAAUGAUUAAAAAAAGAUUAAAUCUGUCAGAUGCUCAGAUUCAGCCGAGUAGAAAGUGUCACUAACUUGAAAUACUGAAGUACGAGUACCUCAAAAUGGUCCUUUAUUGUGAAACGCCCACUCAAAUGCAAGCAAAGUGAUGUGUUGCUUGAUUUGGGAAAUAUCUCGUUUGCCUUUAUUGAAGUGCAGUCUGUGUUUUGUUGGAGUUUUGCAGAAGGAGUGUUGUGGUUUUAGAAAGAAUAUGACUGGAUAAAACAUCUGUCUGAUGCAGAAAAAGUCGCCUAAAGAGGAUGCAUAAUAUAUGUAUAUAUAUAUGUAUAUAUUCAAAGUACAGCCGAGACAUCAACUGGUUUUCACUUUGACUAUUAUGCCCUCUCGUCUCUUCUACCUGGCAGACACACACCAGCACCAUGUGGUCCUGAUGCACAGAGUCUGUUAUAAAGGGGAAAAGGCCUUAAAUGUUAAAACACACAUACUUCAAAUUUAAAUCCACAAGGAAAUCCACUGGAAAGACACAGAAUGACACGUCCCACAUUCAGGUAUAAAUAAUGUGAUGUAAUAAUAAACACCAUCACAUCCUGAAGCA